GAUGAACGCUGGCGGCGUGCCUCAAACAUGCAAGUCGAGCGGGGCUAUGUAAUAUCGCAAGGUAGAACAUAGCCUAGCGGCGAACGGGUGAGUAACACGUGGGUAACCUGCCUGGAAGACAGGGAUAACGAUUCGAAAGGGUCGCUAAUACCUGAUAAUAUCCUUUCAUCGCAUGGUGAUAGGAAGAAAGGGGAAACCCGCUUUCAGAUGGGCCCGCGUCCCAUCAGCUAGUUGGUAAGGUAAAGGCUUACCAAGGCGACGACGGGUAGCCGGUCUGAGAGGAUGUACGGCCACACUGGGACUGAGAUACGGCCCAGACUCCUACGGGAGGCAGCAGUUGGGAAUCUUAGGCAAUGGACGAAAGUCUGACCUAGCGACGCCGCGUGAGGGAAGAAGGCCUUCGGGUUGUAAACCUCUGUCAGUGGGGGAAGAAGUAAGUGACGGUACCCCAAGAGGAAGCCCCUGCUAACUACGUGCCAGCAGCCGACGGUAAAAGUCUCUAU
This 503-nucleotide ribosomal RNA is filed under the name uncultured bacterium. RNAcentral's name for it is "bacterial SSU rRNA". It matches the Rfam family "Bacterial small subunit ribosomal RNA", at positions 28 to 530 of the family's 1533-position model. The record is from RNAcentral.